This 378-nucleotide ribosomal RNA is filed under the name Conticribra weissflogii. RNAcentral describes it as "partial Bacterial large subunit ribosomal RNA". It matches the Rfam family "Bacterial large subunit ribosomal RNA", at positions 740 to 1116 of the family's 2925-position model. The record is from RNAcentral. Lineage: Eukaryota; Bacillariophyta; Thalassiosirophyceae; Thalassiosirales; Thalassiosiraceae.
GCAGGGUGAAGGUGCAGUAACAUGCACUGGAGGCCCGAACCGUUGAGCGUUGAAAAGCUCUCGGAUGACCUGUGCCUAGGGGUGAAAGGCCAAUCAAACUUGCUGAUAGCUGGUUCUCCUCGAAAUCUAUUUAGGUAGAGCGUCGAUCGAAUACUCUUGGGGGUAGAGCACUGACUGGGCUAGGGGUCCUCACCGGAUUACCAAACCUUAUCAAACUCCGAAUACCAAGAAGUACUAAUCGGCAGACACACGGCGGGUGCUAACGUCCGUCGUGAAAAGGGAAACAACCCAGACCGCCAAUUAAGGCCCCCAAGUAAUAGCUAAGUGCGAAACGAUGUGGAGGUGCUGAGACAAUCAGGAGGUUGGCUUAGAAGCAGC